RNAcentral lists this ribosomal RNA (497 nucleotides) under uncultured bacterium. RNAcentral describes it as "partial 16S ribosomal RNA". It matches the Rfam family "Bacterial small subunit ribosomal RNA", at positions 28 to 507 of the family's 1533-position model. The record is from RNAcentral.
GAUGAACGCUGGCGGCGUGCCUAAUACAUGCAAGUUGAGCGAACAGACGAGGAGCUUGCUCCUCUGACGUUAGCGGCGGACGGGUGGGUAACACGUGGAUAACCUACCUAUAAGACUGGGAUAACUUCGGGAAACCGGAGCUAAUACCGGAUAAUAUAUUGAACCGCAUGGUUCAAUAGUGAAAGACGGUUUUGCUGUCACUUAUAGAUGGAUCCGCGCCGCAUUAGCUAGUUGGUAAGGUAACGGCUUACCAAGGCAACGAUGCGUAGCCGACCUGAGAGGGUGAUCGGCCACACUGGAACUGAGACACGGUCCAGACUCCUACGGGAGGCAGCAGUAGGGAAUCUUCCGCAAUGGGCGAAAGCCUGACGGAGCAACGCCGCGUGAGUGAUGAAGGUCUUCGGAUCGUAAAACUCUGUUAUUAGGGAAGAACAAAUGUGUAAGUAACUAUGCACGUCUUGACGGUACCUAAUCAGAAAGCCACGGCUAACUACGUG